Molecule: long non-coding RNA, 2126 nt
Organism: Brachypodium distachyon (stiff brome)
Lineage: Eukaryota; Viridiplantae; Streptophyta; Magnoliopsida; Poales; Poaceae
Exons: 2
Source: RefSeq, a predicted model, not a curated record
UCUAUCCCUUCUCCUUCCUCCUUCUUUCCGAGCCCAGGUUAGUUGUUCAUAUGGAUUUUACGUCCAUUUUGGGUACUCGGAGCCCGUGGGGAAUCAAGCUGGGUAUGCAGUUUAUCCAAUUAGAGCUUAUCGGCUUGGAAUUAUCCCUUGUUUGCUUUUCUGGUUAUCUUGGAGUCUUAUAUAUAAAGAAGUUGGCGGCGGUGAUGGCCUUUCACCUCCAUUUUCCGCAUUUCUGAAAAAUCUAUAGCACAGAAAUACAACAAACUAAUUAAAUUGUUACAAUAAAGAACAACUAAGUUAACCACCACACCCCAAAAAUAUCUCUAACAAAAAUAUAGCAUGGCACCAGAAGCAAAAGCAAGUUGGCUUGGCUUGGAGCCGUAGCAUAGACCGACCAGGACACAUGCAUGACGCCUGCAUGGAAGGUGCUUGGUCGAUCUUAGGUGCGGAUGGAGCAAGCUAAUCCUUAUGAAGAAAUAUACAACUUGUAUUACUAGGGGGCCAUAGGCCACUACAUAUAAGUGUGUACACGUGGUAACUAUGUGAAAAGUCCCAUAUAUAAUGGGGCUAUUUACACGGCUAACACAUGGCUACCACAUACAAGUCAUGAAAAGAUCUACAAGACUCAGCGAGUCAGAUCAGAGAGAUGCUCAUAUCAGAAGCAUGAAGGUAAAGAUUGAGCUCCAUCACAGUCUCAACAUUACGCCGAUCAUUAAGAAAAUCAAGGGCAAUAUACUUAUCUUGGAAUAUUUAGAAAACCAUCUUAGGUAGAAGAAACCUCAAUCCCAACAAAAUGAUGAAGAGGACCAAGAUGAAACAUAAGAAGCUGCUCACCAAGAUGAGCCUUCACAGAGGUCAUGAACUCAGAAUCAUCUCCAGUGAUGGUCAUGUCAUCAAUGUAUAGAAGAAGAUCCUGGAUGUACUUCUUUUAGGGAUAAAGAAGCCAUUUGAGGUAGAGCAAACCUCAAUCCCGAGGCAGUAGCAAAGAGGACGAAGAUCAGACAUAAGAAACUUCUCACUAAGACAAUGCACUCAUAUUUCAUCCUGUGGUUGAACUCUUCUUCUUCUGUACGUUGAUGACAUGAUUCUGAAAAACCAGCAGCUGUGACCACAAAGGUGAAGCGCUCAGACCAAGCACGAGGGGCCUUCUUAAGACCAUAAAGAGAACGACAAAGGCGGCACCAUGUCGACAUGCGUGUAGACCUCCUCAUGCAACUCACCAUAAAAAAAGGCAUUAUUGACAUAGAGCUGAGAAAUGGACUAGUGGCGAACAGAAGCCACCGCAAGAAGAAUACGAACAGUGGUCAUGUGAGCCAUAGGAGCAAACAUCUCGUCAUAGUCACGACCACACUCCUGCUAAAAACCACGAGCCACAAGACAAGCCUUAUAUCUCUCAAGAGAACCAUCUGAGCGGGUCUUAACCUUGUAGACCCACUUGCAAGUGAUGGACGAACAUGUGGAGGAAGAGAAACAAGAUCCCACGUGCUCUUGCGCUCAAGGGUGACAAUCUCCUCUGCCAUCGCAUGCUGCCAUUCCUCAUGAGCAGAGCAAGAACAUAACGGUAGGAGGUCGACUCAGAAGGAACUGCACUGGCACAACAAUAUCGGUUAAUAGGCGGACGCUGACGAGCACAUAGACGAAGGCCAUCUGUAGGAAGAGGAGGUGUAUCGGAAGAGAAAAACAACUCUACAGGACAAAUGGUCUAGGAUUGUUUUUAGGCUUUGGGCUGCAUGGGGGUCUGCUUUGACUAUUAUUUGGGUGUUGUCAAGCACUACCGGAGGUAGCUGAUCAUUAAGAGGGUGUUAAAUUAUUUUCGCAAAAAAAAGAGGGUGUUGAAUUAGGCUGGCUUCUCCUGCUGAUCAGAAAAGCUGCUGGAGGACGUCAGCAACGAAGAUGAAAAGGAUGCUGCGAAUCCAGUUGCAGAUUUUUUCCUGGCAUCCUCUAGUUUGAAGGAUGACAUUGUUUGAAAGUAACUUCAAGAGUUCUAGCCUUCUAGGUAAGAAUGUAGUAGGCUAUUUUAGUGCAAUUUGGGAGGCACCGUGGAACUGUCAAUUUAUUUUUGACUGAGACGUUGCAUGAACGUUUUAUGAUGAUUAUCCUUUAGUAAACUGAUUGGUUAAUGAGAA